This 310-nucleotide ribosomal RNA is filed under the name uncultured bacterium. Its description in RNAcentral is "bacterial SSU rRNA". It matches the Rfam family "Bacterial small subunit ribosomal RNA", at positions 28 to 312 of the family's 1533-position model. The record is from RNAcentral.
GACGAACGCUGGCGGCGUGCUUAACACAUGCAAGUCGAACGAGAAGAGAUGAGAAGCUUGCUUCUUAUUAAUUCGAGUGGCAAACGGGUGAGUAACGCGUAAGCAACCUGCCCUUCAGAUGGGGACAACAGCUGGAAACGGCUGCUAAUACCGAAUACGUUCUUUUGUCGCAUGGCAGAAGGAAGAAAGGGAGGCUCUUCGGGAGCUUUCGGCUGAAGGAGGGGCUUGCGUCUGAUUAGCUAGUUGGAGGGGUAACGGCCCGACCAAGGUCGACGAUCAGUAGCCGGUCUGGAGAGGUUGAACGGCCACA